AUUCCUAAGAUAGUAUGAGAAAGUUCUGAUCUUGACAGUUCACGUAACAUUCAAUCAAUUAUACCAUUGCUCUAUCUCUAAAGUUUUCUUUUUCUCCUUUUCUCAGUGUCUUACCAAGAAUGAAAGGCAACCUAUGUAAAAACUAUGGGCUUUCUAGUAUAAAUAAAAACUACUCAUCUCCAGAAAAUAAACAAUGACUGCUAAGAUGAUUGAAAAAAGAAAGGAGAAGAAAGUAGCUUGUAAAAGCGUGUGAAAUGCAUUCACGUUGGAAUCUCCUACAGGCACUUCAGGUCUUCAGACUGUAAACAUUUUAAGUGUGAUUGCUGUGAAUGAAGGAAACCCAGAGCCAUCAUGACAAGCCUAAACUCAAAGGGGACUGAUUUCUUCUACACUGAAUGUUUCAUUAGUGACAGGGCCCAGAUAAUAAAGAAUUGUGCUCACUUCCUGUGAGUGAUGGCUUUCCCUCAAUUGUAUGCUGAGUAACAUUUACAGUAUUCAUUUUUAAGCACCCAUCUUCCUGGGAGCCCUAUUUCCCCUAAGCUUUCAAUUGAUCCUCCUAAGAGCAGAGAUCACUUAGGCACUGAGCUAUGCAGCUGCUGCCUGAGUCUCCUGGACGCCUGCCCUCACCUCCAGCCACAUGAAAAACAUUCAAGCUUUAACUUCAGAAAUGUUCUCUAACCCACUCCCAGACACCCAACUGAUUAAAUCAUAGAUUAGAGGAAAAAAUUCUUGCCUGAAAUUGUCAUCUUGCACGUAUGCUGAUGUCCAGAAGGACACAUCCUGGUGGGAAGUGACUGCAUGUUUUGUUCAUAUUACAAGUCCUGUUGACAAAAGAGAAUAAUACAGGUGUCCUCCUGAAACUGUCACCACAGUGACCUUCCUCAGUCAAAAAGAAAUAUAAAUAUUAUUGUGUUUCUCGUGUCUGAGGCACCUCUGAAAGCAUUUAUCUUUUCAGAGAGUUCAGCACUUCAUCUCACGGGUUAAUUAAACCAACCUGUAGUGGCAAAGUUUAGUGGUAGUGAAAAUAAACAUAAUCCUCUUUCUGUUGCCCAACCUUUCAGUUUCAUUUUGUAAUUUUUCAAUACAGGGGCACAAUAAGUGAUAAUCCUGGAUUCCAAAUGAUUUCCACUUCUUUCUCUGCCACCUUCCCUGCCCCAACACCUGCCAUCCCUCAUUUACACAAUUCAAGUAAUCAAGGGGCAGUUUGGCUCCCUUUUUCUGGAGGCAAACUUUUGCAGAGUUUUAACUUACUCAGUGGGAAGAAAAGCCCCCAAAACACUGAAGCAUACCAAGCAAAUAAAUAAAUAAAUGCACAAAGGCUCCCUGCGGUUGUCUGACGAGGAUACUGGAGCAAGCAGCCUGAAGAACAAACGUCUGACUGUUGAAACAGCGAGACAGGAAUAAACCCAUGGGGCCACAUCUGGGAGUGUGAGUGUGUGAAUGGAACUAAGCUGGUCUCCCACACAACAGGAAUUCCACCAAAAGUAUGCGCUCUGUAUGGGAGGACAGAAAAAAAAUGUGUUUAAAAUAUCACUAAGGAAACCCAGAUACAUUAUCUCUGCCAGACUACAGAAGACAGUACAGUUAGUGCUUGUCUCAAAAUGACAGAAACAGAGAACAUGCUUUGAUGAUGUCGAAGAUGCAGGAAAAUAGAAAAAUAAAAACGGUGGAAAGAUUUUUUUUUAAUGCCCUAAAAUGAGCAAGACGCCUCCCUUUU
Molecule: long non-coding RNA, 1717 nt
Organism: Homo sapiens (human)
Lineage: Eukaryota; Metazoa; Chordata; Mammalia; Primates; Hominidae
Product: long intergenic non-protein coding RNA 702
Source: Ensembl